Passer domesticus (house sparrow) is the source of this 1057-nucleotide long non-coding RNA. RefSeq lists it as uncharacterized. The transcript has 3 exons. Lineage: Eukaryota; Metazoa; Chordata; Aves; Passeriformes; Passeridae. The record is from RefSeq and is a predicted model, not a curated record.
UCCACAGGGCUCGGUGCUGGGGCCAGCCCUCUUUCAUAUCUUAUUGAUGGGGGGAUUGAGUGCUCUAUCAGACAAGGUUUUGUGAGCCACCUGCAUGGGUGUUCCUCUGCCCACCUUGCUCUCUCCACUGGAUGUUCCUCCUUUUGGGCUGUUCAGCCUGAAGAAGUUUAACAAGAACGUCACAAUCCAUGAAUAACAACUGGUGUUUCUCCUCUAACUGCAACAUUCUGGAUUACUUUAAAUGAACAAAGCUUUAUCACAUAUGGCAUCCUGACAUGAUUAAUUUUCUUAAGGGAUAGUGUGUGAACUGGACAAGAACCCAGGAUGAUUUAAAGAUAAAAUUGUAAAUGCCAUGGUCAGCACUGACUCUGAAUUCUAUAAUUACUCACCAUUUGACCAAGAAACUUCAUAACUUCAGUGGUGCAAAAUUUUCUCUGUAUUUUGUGUGGAUGUUUUUAUUGGUUAAGAUACAUUAUUAGUGCUAAAAAGACCAGGCAGAAGAGAGAGAUUAAUUUUAGAUGCAUUUUCUUUGUGUGUAAUAAUUCUGCUAAUAGUUCAUUACUUCAAAGCAUUGAAGACAACCUCAGGCACAGAUUUUAGGGAAGGAGUAAGUCUUGCAAAAUAUAUCCACCACAAUUUACAUUUAAUUUACUGGAUUCAGUGACUUAGUCUGAGACUCAAAGUCACACAAGACAAAGUGAAUCUUGUGUCAUUCUCAUUUUGAUAAGAAACUGUCUGACAUUUUGAAAAAUGACCUAGUCUGUAGUCACAAUCAGAAUAUAUAAAAGCUCAGUGAUACAGAAUUGUUUCCUUAUUCACACUGGACUCCUGUUCAUAAGCUAUUACCUGAGCUGUGGAUUUUGGCUGAUAAAGUCAGGCUGAGGUUUUCUUCCCAAACUUGUCUUGAGCUAUUGCAGAAAACCAUAUUGGCAGGAUAUUCAGGUGCCCAGAAUGUGAAUUCUCUUGGGAAAAUAGAAACAAAAUUAAUAGGAUUAUUGUCCCUAUAGGAACAGUUUUCCAAGGUUGAUUCAGACACGUGAUUUUCUUAGGAGACGGU